NGCCGAACGACAGUAGCAUCACAGAUCAGAUUUCAUUUCUCCAGUGAGGCGAGUCAAGCUGACUGACGAGAAGAGUGGGGUGAGACAGACAAGAAGAGCGAGACAGACAGACGAGAAGAGCGAGGCGAGACAGACAGACGAGAAGAGCGAGGCGAGACAGACAGACGAGAAGAGCGAGGCGAGACAGACAGAAGAGAAGAGCGAGACAGGCGAGGCGAGACAGACGAGAAGAGCGAGGCGAGACAGACGAGAAGGGCGAGACAGACGAGAAGAGCGAGGCGAGACAGACGAGAAGGGCGAGACAGACGAGAAGAGCGAGGCGAGACAGGCGAGGCGAGACAGACGAGAAGAGUGAGGCGAGACAGACGAGAAGAGCGAGGCGAGACAGGCGAGGCGAGACAGACGAGAAGAGCGAGGCGAGACAGGCGAGAAGAGCGAGGCGAGAAGGGCGAGGCGAGACAGGCGAGAAGAGCGAGGCGAGACAGGCGAGAAGAGCAAGGCGAGAAGGGCGAGGCGAGACAGACGAGAAGGGCGAGGCGAGACAGGCGAGAAGAGCGAGGCGAGACAGGCGAGAAGAGCGAGGCGAGACAGGCGAGAAGAGCGAGGCGAGAAGAGCGAGGUGAGACAGACGAGAAGAGCGAGGCGAGACAGACGACACAGACGAGGCGAGACAGACGAGACGGGCGAGGCGAGACGGGCGAGGCGAGACAUGCGAGGCGAGACAGACGAGAAGGGCGAGGCGAGACAGACGAGAAGAGCGAGGUGAGACAGACGAGACGGGCGAGGCGAGACAUGCGAGGCGAGACGGGCGAGGCGAAACAGACGAGAAGGGCGAGGCGAGACAGACGAGAAGGGCGAGGCGAGACAGACGAGAAGGGCGAGGCGAGGCGAGACAGACGAGAAGGGCGAGGCGAGACAGACGAGAAGGGCGAGGCGAGGCGAGACAGACGAGAAGGGCGAGGCGAGACAGACGAGAAGGGCGAGGCGAGGCGAGACAGACGAGAAGGGCGAGGCGAGACAGACGAGAAGGGCGAGGCGAGGCGAGACAGACGAGAAGGGCGAGGCGAGACAGACGAGAAGGGCGGAGCGAGGCGAGACAGACGACACAGACGAGAAGAGCGAGGCGAGACAGACGACACAGACGAGGCGAGACGGGCGAGGCGAGACGGGCGAGGCGAGGCGGA
Molecule: long non-coding RNA, 1184 nt
Filed under: Sinocyclocheilus grahami
Lineage: Eukaryota; Metazoa; Chordata; Actinopteri; Cypriniformes; Cyprinidae
Description: lncRNA (ENSSGRG00000008486.1)
Source: RNAcentral